UAGUCCACGCCGUAAACGAUGGAUACUAGGUGUCCGGGAUAUUAACCUCCUGGGUACUACAGUUAACGCGUUAAGUAUCCCGCCUGGGGAGUACGGUCGCAAGGCUAAAACUCAAAUGAAUUGACGGGGGCCCGCACAAGCGGUGGAGCAUGUGGUUUAAUUCGACGCAACGCGAAGAACCUUACCUGGCCUUGGCAUGCAGAGAACUUUCCAGAGAUGGAUUGGUGCCUUCGGGAACUCUGACACAGGUGCUGCAUGGCCGUCGUCAGCUCGUGUCGUGAGAUGUUGGGUUAAGUCCCGUAACGAGCGCAACCCCUAUCCUUAGUUGCUAGCAGGUAAUGCUGAGAACUCUAGGGAGACUGCCGGUGACAAACCGGAGGAAGGUGGGGAUGACGUCAGGUCAUCAUGGCCCUUACGGCCAGGGCUACACACGUGCUACAAUGGUGCGCACAGAGGGCCGCAAACCCGCGAGGGGGAGCCGAAUCUCACAAAACGCAUCGUAGUCCGGAUCGGAGU
This 516-nucleotide ribosomal RNA is filed under the name uncultured bacterium. RNAcentral describes it as "bacterial SSU rRNA". It matches the Rfam family "Bacterial small subunit ribosomal RNA", at positions 791 to 1304 of the family's 1533-position model. The record is from RNAcentral.